RNAcentral lists this long non-coding RNA (1151 nucleotides) under Homo sapiens (human). Its description in RNAcentral is "AQP4 antisense RNA 1". The record is from RNAcentral. Lineage: Eukaryota; Metazoa; Chordata; Mammalia; Primates; Hominidae.
UGGCUGCCUGCAACAGCCCCAGGGCACAAUCAGACAAGGAUGGAGAAGGCCUGGGAGCAGAUUUUGUUACCAAGAAUAGGACAGAACAAUGUUUGCCUCCAAAACACUAGGGCUGCUAUUUACCUUCUCAGCUGGAAGAAGUGAGGCAUAAAUGCAUUAUUGCACAUAAAGUGUAAAUACCAAUUCUUUAAUUUCUAAAUUUUUAGGAUUUUAUUUUUUCUUAACUCCCCUUAAAUAAAACGUCAGGGAAAAUUUUUAGCAUAAUUGAUUUCCUGAACUAAGGGAAUAAAUUCAUUUCAGAAGUUUUGACCUUCUAAAGUGCUGUUACUUUGCCUAAAAUGGAAGUAUGGAGGAGGCAGAAUAAAAAUUGUAAGACAUUUCCAGGUGAUUAUGGGGGUUGAGAACGCUUCCAUGUGUGUGCUGUGUGUGUUGGCAAUGUCAUUAUUUCAGGAACUGCUAUGAAAAAACCAAGUUUCCCUAUGUUUGGAUGUAAAACUUCAUCUACUUUUCAGAAGCUCUCCAAAAUUAUUUACCAGCUUGAGCCUGCUCCCUCAAAAGGAGCCUCAGUUCCUAACAAAAGUGACUUUUUGUAGAAACUCUGCAGGUCAGAAGAUUUUUGUAUGGAAUGAUCUUCUCCAAUCAAUUAUUUGAAUCUAAGGUGUGCUCAAGAGGAGAAUCAGUUUCCCAUUCAACCACUUAGGAUUCUUUCUCUCUGCGUCCUAAAUUUGGCUUUGAGACCUUGGAUGAUGAUUCUCCUAAUCUGGUCAAUGGACCACCUGCAAGAAUCACCCAGGACUGGAGCCCAGGAAUCUGCUCAGUAACGUGACUGGGGUGCAUAGGAAGAGAAGAUCAUCAGUGGCAAAUGGCAGUCACAGGAAAGCAACACCCACAGCCGGUUUCACACGUGUGGAGAGCACCCUGAGCCUCCUCCUCCUGGUUUCCCGUGCUCUGCAAGUUCAGAGAAACUUCUCUCACAACCAACUAUAGAAACAAUCUUGGAACGUACAGUCUUAGAAAUGGCUUUUUAAUUGCAGCAUAUCAGAGUGAAAAAGGACCCAGAGAUGUUGGAAUCAGACAAUCCUGGUUUCAAAUCGGUUUCAUUGUUCAUCCUCAUGUGAUGUUUGGCAAGAAAUAAAACAUUUCUGCGUUCA